This 253-nucleotide ribosomal RNA is filed under the name uncultured bacterium. Its description in RNAcentral is "partial 16S ribosomal RNA". It matches the Rfam family "Bacterial small subunit ribosomal RNA", at positions 524 to 776 of the family's 1533-position model. The record is from RNAcentral.
UACGGGGGGGGCAAGCGUUGUUCGGAAUUACUGGGCGUAAAGCGCUCGUAGGCGGCCAACUAAGUCAUACGUGAAAUCCCUCGGCUUAACCGGGGAACUGCGUCUGAUACUGGAUGGCUUGAGUUCGGGAGAGGGAUGCGGAAUUCCAGGUGUAGCGGUGAAAUGCGUAGAUAUCUGGAGGAACACCGGUGGCGAAGGCGGCAUCCUGGACCGAUACUGACGCUGAGGAGCGAAAGCCAGGGGAGCAAACGGG